GUGCUCACUUCAGCCGCACAUAGACUAAAAUUGGAACGAUACAGAGAAGUUUAGCAUGGCCCCUGCGCAAGGAUGACAUGCAAAUUCAUGAAACAUUCCAUAUUUUU
Mesoplodon densirostris (Blainville's beaked whale) is the source of this 107-nucleotide small nuclear RNA. The record is from RefSeq and is a predicted model, not a curated record. Lineage: Eukaryota; Metazoa; Chordata; Mammalia; Artiodactyla; Ziphiidae.